CUAUGUGUUGUUGGGUAGGGGAGCGUUCUGUAAGCCGUUGAAGGUGUCCUGUGAGGGAUGCUGGAGGUAUCAGAAGUGCGAAUGCUGACAUAAGUAACGAUAAUGCGGGUGAAAAACCCGCACGCCGGAAGACCAAGGGUUCCUGUCCAACGUUAAUCGGGGCAGGGUGAGUCGACCCCUAAGGCGAGGCCGAAAGGCGUAGUCGAUGGGAAACGGGUUAAUAUUCCCGUACUUGGUGUUACUGCGAAGGGGGGACGGAGAAGGCUAUGUUGGCCGGGCGACGGUUGUCCCGGUUUAAGCGUGUAGGUGUGUGUUCCAGGUAAAUCCGGUUCACUUUAACACUGAGGCGUGAUGACGAGGCACUACGGUGCUGAAGCAACAAAUGCCCUGCUUCCAGGAAAAGCCUCUAAGCAUCAGGUAACAUCAAAUCGUACCCCAAACCGACACAGGUGGUCAGGUAGAGAAUACCAAGGCGCUUGAGAGAACUCGGGUGAAGGAACUAGGCAAAAUGGUGCCGUAA
Molecule: ribosomal RNA, 520 nt
Filed under: Salmonella enterica subsp. enterica serovar Tees
Lineage: Bacteria; Pseudomonadati; Pseudomonadota; Gammaproteobacteria; Enterobacterales; Enterobacteriaceae
Description: partial 23S ribosomal RNA
Rfam family: Bacterial large subunit ribosomal RNA
Source: RNAcentral